This 115-nucleotide small RNA is filed under the name unclassified sequences. RNAcentral's name for it is "LOOT RNA". It matches the Rfam family "LOOT RNA". From Rfam's summary of the family: Latescibacteria, OD1/Parcubacteria, OP11, TM7. The record is from Rfam by way of RNAcentral.
AGCCUAAGUCCUUAUUGGGAUAUGGCAUAAAAAACCGUGCAAGAUAGAGAGCCCAUCGUUUGGGAACACCUUGCACGGUCAUAUGCCGAAAGGCGUAUGGGUGGCGAAAGCCAUC